RNAcentral lists this ribosomal RNA (459 nucleotides) under uncultured bacterium. Its description in RNAcentral is "partial 16S ribosomal RNA". It matches the Rfam family "Bacterial small subunit ribosomal RNA", at positions 338 to 795 of the family's 1533-position model. The record is from RNAcentral.
CCUACGUGAGGCAGCAGUGAGGAAUAUUGGUCAAUGGGCGUAAGCCUGAACCAGCCAAGUCGCGUGAGGGAUGAAGGUUCUAUGGAUCGUAAACCUCUUUUAUAAGGGAAUAAAGUGCGGGACGUGUCCCGUUUUGUAUGUACCUUAUGAAUAAGGAUCGGCUAACUCCGUGCCAGCAGCCGCGGUAAUACGGAGGAUCCGAGCGUUAUCCGGAUUUAUUGGGUUUAAAGGGUGCGUAGGCGGCCUUUUAAGUCAGCGGUGAAGUCUGUGGAUCAACCAUAGAAUUGCCGUUGAAACUGGGAGGCUUGAGUAUGUUUGAGGCAGGCGGAAUGCGUGGGGAAGCGGGGAAAUGCUUAGAUAUCACGCAGAACCCCGAUUGCGAAGGCAGCCUGCCAAGCCAUGACUGACGCUGAUGCACGAAAGCGUGGGGAUCAAACAGGAUUAGAUACCCGGGUAGUC